GACGAACGCUGGCGGCAUGCCUAACACAUGCAAGUCGAACGGAGAAUCGCUUCGGUGAUUCUUAGUGGCGAACGGGUGAGUAACGCGUAGGCAACCUGCCCUUUGGAUGGGGACAACAUUCCGAAAGGAGUGCUAAUACCGAAUGUGACGAUUUUACCGCAUGGUUUAAUCGUGAAAGAUGGCCUCUACAUGUAAGCUAUCGCCAAAGGAUGGGCCUGCGUCUGAUUAGCUAGUUGGUGGGGUAACGGCUCACCAAGGCGACGAUCAGUAGCCGGUCUGAGAGGAUGAACGGCCACAUUUGGGACUGAGACACGGCCCAGACUCCUAC
Molecule: ribosomal RNA, 328 nt
Filed under: uncultured bacterium
Lineage: Bacteria
Description: bacterial SSU rRNA
Rfam family: Bacterial small subunit ribosomal RNA
Source: RNAcentral